This 248-nucleotide ribosomal RNA is filed under the name uncultured bacterium. Its description in RNAcentral is "partial 16S ribosomal RNA". It matches the Rfam family "Bacterial small subunit ribosomal RNA", at positions 524 to 766 of the family's 1533-position model. The record is from RNAcentral.
UACGGAGGGUGCGAGCGUUUGUCCGGAAUCAUUGGGCGUAAAGGGCGCGUAGGCGGCCCGCUAAGUCGAACGUGAAAUCCCCAGGCUCAACCUGGGAACUGCGUCCGAUACUGGCAGGCUUGAAUCCGGGAGAGGGAUGUGGAAUUCCAGGUGUAGCGGUGAAAAUGCGUAGAUAUCUGGGAGGAACACCGGUGGCGAAGGCGGCAUCCUGGACCGGUAUUGACGCUGAGGGCGCGAAAAGCUAGGGG